This is a long non-coding RNA of Hemibagrus wyckioides, 998 nucleotides long. RefSeq lists it as uncharacterized. The transcript is spliced from 3 exons. Lineage: Eukaryota; Metazoa; Chordata; Actinopteri; Siluriformes; Bagridae. The record is from RefSeq and is a predicted model, not a curated record.
UUUAAACUGCAUUCUGGAAGGUCAGACUCACGGGCACCACUGAAGUCCACUAUAUGGAGAAACAUCCUGAAAUGUUUUCCUCAAAAAACAUCAUUUCUUUAUGACUGAAGAAAGAAAGACAUGAACAUCUUGGAUGACGAGAGGGAGAAGCUUGUGCUGCUCUAACACACAACAUCGAAGCUGGAUGAUCACAGGAGUUAACGUGUCUCUGUGGUGCAGAGCAGAAACGUCAGCGGUGUAACGGGAAAGUGAGCUACAGUCUUCUUCCUCCGUCUGAUCACGAUGCAGUUGUUUCACAGCUGGAGGGGGAAAAACGUACAAAUCUACAAAGUCGGAGGUGGGUGUGUCUGAUCUGGACGAACACGAGCCAGGAAACGGCUCAAACAUCUGAUGCUCCUGAAUGAUGGGAUUUCAUUUUUAUGAAGAAAUCGGAUUUGAAUAAACAAACAGAAUAAGAAAUGUUACUCAGGGCUUUAUUUACAGUCUUUUCAGCUAGAGUGAUGGAAGUUAUGUUAGUAAAAUAAAUAAAUUAAAAAUAUUUAACAACAGUUUUAAUAUUUAUUUACCUACAAAAUAAUCUUUCUAUUGAAAUUCUUAUUUUUAAUUUAAAAUAAUUCACUGCUCUAAUUAUGUGACUGAAGGAGAUUUGUGUUUGUGAAUGUGGUCAGGGUUACAGCAGCCCCGGUUCUGGAAUGGCUCCUGAGUGUGAAACACGGGUCAGAACCCAGGCCUGCUGCUGCCGCUGCUGUCCUUCACAGAGAUAAUGAUCAAUAUCUGAUUACAUUUCAUUUUAAACAUUUACAUCAGAUUAUUUUAGACUUUAUGGGCAGCAGCAGAAGAGGCAAGAAGUGAGGAUGAGGCUGAUUUCUUCCUCUCCAAGACUGUAGAUUCAUCCAGGUGAUCAGUGAGAGGCGUGUCAGGUGAUCAGUGAGAGGCGUGUCAGAUGGUCAGUGAGAGGCGUGUCAGAUGGUCAGUGAGAGGCGUGUCAGGUGAUCAGU